CACUCUAAGAUACUAUUUAAAGUAACUCCUGCUCAAUGAAUAUUAAAUAGCCGCAGUUUUACUGUGCUAAGGUAGCAUAAUAAAUAGUCUAUUAAUUAUAGAAUAGAAUGAAAGGAUAAACAAAUUUUUAACUAUAUUUAACCCCACUAUAAAAAUUAAAUUAAAAGUAAAAAUUCCUCUUUAAAAUAGAAAGACGAUAAGACCCUAAAGAACUUAACUUAAGUUAAACUGGGGUGGUUACAUAACUAAUUCUUAAUAAUUAAAUCUUAAAACAUCUAUAUUAUAUAUCUAUUCAAGUUACCUUAGGGAUAACAGCACAAUUUAUAUUAAAAGCACUUAUUAAAAUAUAAGAUUAUGACCUCGAUGUUGAAUUAAUUAUCUAUUACAACGCAAAAGAUUAACCAGAAAGUCUGUUCGACUUUUAAAUUUUUACAU
RNAcentral lists this ribosomal RNA (435 nucleotides) under Heteroonops sp. 8 GJB-2020. Its description in RNAcentral is "partial large subunit ribosomal RNA". Lineage: Eukaryota; Metazoa; Arthropoda; Arachnida; Araneae; Oonopidae. The record is from RNAcentral.